RNAcentral lists this ribosomal RNA (703 nucleotides) under Lactiplantibacillus plantarum. Its description in RNAcentral is "bacterial SSU rRNA". Lineage: Bacteria; Bacillati; Bacillota; Bacilli; Lactobacillales; Lactobacillaceae. The record is from RNAcentral.
AACUGGUGAGUAACACGUGGGAAACCUGCCCAGAAGCGGGGGAUAACACCUGGAAACAGAUGCUAAUACCGCAUAACAACUUGGACCGCAUGGUCCGAGYUUGAAAGAUGGCUUCRGCUAUCACUUUUGGAUGGUCCCGCGGCGUAUUAGCUAKAUGGUGRGGUAACGGCUCACCAUGGCAAUGAUACGUAKCCGACCUGAGAGGGUAAUCGGCCACAUUGGGACUGAGACACGGCCCAMWCUYMUACGGGAGGCAGCAGUAGGGAAUCUUCCACAAUGGACGAAAGUCUGAUGGAGCAACGCCGCGUGAGUGAAGAAGGGUUUCGGCUCGUAAAACUCUGUUGUUAAAGAAGAACAUAUCUGAGAGUAACUGUUCAGGUAUUGACGGUAUUUAACCAGAAAGCCACGGCUAACUACGUGCCAGCAGCCGCGGUAAUACGUAGGUGGCAAGCGUUGUCCGGAUUUAUUGGGCGUAAAGCGAGCGCAGGCGGUUUUUUAAGUCUGAUGUGAAAGCCUUCGGCUCAACCGAAGAAGUGCAUCGGAAACUGGGARACUUGAGUGCAGAAGAGGACAGUGGAACUCCAUGUGUAGCGGUGAAAUGCGUAGAUAUAUGGAAGAACACCAGUGGCGAAGGCGGCUGUCUGGUCUGUAACUGACGCUGAGGCUCGAAAGUAUGGGUAGCAAACAGGAUUAGAUACCCUGG